CCUACGGGCGUCAGCAGUGAGGAAUAUUGGUCAAUGGACGAGAGUCUGAACCAGCCAAGUAGCGUGAAGGAUGACUGCCCUAUGGGUUGUAAACUUCUUUUAUAUGGGAAUAAAAUGUUCCACGUGUGGGAUUUUGUAUGUACCAUAUGAAUAAGGAUCGGCUAACUCCGUGCCAGCAGCCGCGGUAAUACGGAGGAUCCGAGCGUUAUCCGGAUUUAUUGGGUUUAAAGGGAGCGUAGGUGGAUUGUUAAGUCAGUUGUGAAAGUUUGCGGCUCAACCGUAAAAUUGCAGUUGAAACUGGCAGUCUUGAGGACAGUAGAGGUGGGCGGAAUUCGUGGUGUAGCGGUGAAAUGCUUAGAUAUCACGAAGAACUCCGAUUGCGAAGGCAGUUCACUGGACUGCAACUGACACUGAGGCUCGAAAGUGUGGGUAUCAAACAGGAUUAGAUACCCUGGUAGUC
This 460-nucleotide ribosomal RNA is filed under the name uncultured bacterium. Its description in RNAcentral is "partial 16S ribosomal RNA". It matches the Rfam family "Bacterial small subunit ribosomal RNA", at positions 338 to 795 of the family's 1533-position model. The record is from RNAcentral.